UUCGAUUCCGAAGUUGAUUUUUAGAGAGUGAAACCGCUCUUUUUAGAGAAACCCUGUUUUAGAGAGAGAGAGCUCAGUUCUAGAGAGAGAAAAAGCUCAGUUCUAGAGAGAGAAAGAGAGAUGGCAGAUAUUGCUCUUCUGUUCGCUGAAGAAUACGAGAAGGCCAAAGCCAUGCAGAGAGAAAGGGGUGGGCCAAAACCUGAUUCAUAUCUGUCGAUAAUGGCGCACCAAGCUGAGGAAUGGCUUCACCAUCAAAGAGAGGAAUCGUGGAAAAUCGGCAAAUUCGUGCUUUCUGUCGAUCUUCUGGCUCCCAAAUCGCCUAUUUCUAUCGCUUCCAUGGAGGGUUUCUUUUGCUCGUAAGAGAAAUAUGUACAGGUCAAGAUUUACGAUUAUCUUUUGCUGAUGAAUGCAGGAGAUUUAUCUUUGAAUGCUUGUUGAUUUCCAUGGAUGUUUCAGUUGUUUGAUUUUGGUUUGUAUAUAGAAAGUUGAGAAAUACAGGAUUCUCAGUUUCAUUUUAUGGAUGGAGUGCAGGCUGUGUAUUUUGAGAGAGAGAGAGAGAAAGAGAUUUCCGUCUCGUCUCUUUGCUAAUUACUCUGCAUAAUAUUUCUUUGCUAA
RNAcentral lists this long non-coding RNA (615 nucleotides) under Amborella trichopoda. Its description in RNAcentral is "long non-coding RNA (ATRI_LNC000201)". The record is from RNAcentral. Lineage: Eukaryota; Viridiplantae; Streptophyta; Magnoliopsida; Amborellales; Amborellaceae.